CUCCGUGCCAGCAGCCGCGGUAAUACGGAGGGUGCAAGCGUUAAUCGGAAUUACUGGGCGUAAAGCGCGCGUAGGUGGCUUGAUAAGCCGGUUGUGAAAGCCCCGGGCUCAACCUGGGAACGGCAUCCGGAACUGUCAGGCUAGAGUGCAGGAGAGGAAGGUAGAAUUCCCGGUGUAGCGGUGAAAUGCGUAGAGAUCGGGAGGAAUACCAGUGGCGAAGGCGGCCUUCUGGACUGACACUGACACUGAGGUGCGAAAGCGUGGGUAGCAAACAGGAUUAGAUACCCUGGUAGUCCACGCCGUAAACGAUGUCGACCAGCCGUUGGGUGCCUAGAGCACUUUGUGGCGAAGUUAACGCGAUAAGUCGA
RNAcentral lists this ribosomal RNA (368 nucleotides) under uncultured Halomonas sp. Its description in RNAcentral is "bacterial SSU rRNA". It matches the Rfam family "Bacterial small subunit ribosomal RNA", at positions 501 to 868 of the family's 1533-position model. Lineage: Bacteria; Pseudomonadati; Pseudomonadota; Gammaproteobacteria; Oceanospirillales; Halomonadaceae. The record is from RNAcentral.